UCCGGCCUGGUUAGUUCGAGUGGAAGUUGUAUUUUCCGUGUGAAGGAACUCUUACUCCGGAACUGGUAGUCAUUUUGCUCUAGGCGAUUUUCGUGCUGUAUUCAGAGUGAGGCAGAUCACCCGUGUAUUGGUCACGGAUAGGAGGUAUAAUGCCAAAGCGCGGAACCAGGAACCCUCCAGCUAACAGGCCCAGACC
Homalodisca vitripennis (glassy-winged sharpshooter) is the source of this 196-nucleotide long non-coding RNA. RefSeq lists it as uncharacterized. Lineage: Eukaryota; Metazoa; Arthropoda; Insecta; Hemiptera; Cicadellidae. The transcript has 2 exons. The record is from RefSeq and is a predicted model, not a curated record.